CGGCAUAGUUUAUGGUAAGACUACGACGGUAUCUGAUCGUCUUCGAUCCCCUAACUUUCGUUCACUGAUUAAUGAAAACAUCCUUGGCGAAUGCUUUCGCAGUAGUUCGUCUUCAAUAAAUCCAAGAAUUUCACCUCUGACAAUUGAAUACGGACGCCCCCGACUAUCCCUAUUAAUCAUUACAGCGGUCCUAGAAACCAACAAAAUAGAACCUCUGUCCUAUUCUAUUAUUCCAUGCUAAUGUAUUCGAGCAAAUGCCUGCUUUGAACACUCUAAUUUUUUCAAGGUAAAAGUCCUGGUUCCCCGCGACGCCCAGUAAAGGGCAUCGGGCUCCCCAGAAGGAAAGGUCCGGCCGAAUCCGUGCGCUCGAUUAGGAGGACAGAUCGGCCAGACCCAAGGUUCAACUACGAGCUUUUUAACGGCAACAACUUUAAUAUACGCUAUUGGAGCUGGAAUUACCGCGGCUGCUGGCCAAUUGGUUGGGUGCCAGCACGAUCUCUACCCCCGUCGGCGACUAGAGAGAGACCGUUCGGCACCCUUCACCCCCGGGAAUCGAUAAUAUUUUGUCCCAGAGGCCCCUGGAGCUUCCCGUUCGCAGCGGUACUACAUGACUUCACCAGGGCCGGACUUUCGUCCGGGGAUCGGCACGUUCCUUGAGCUGACCGUGGCAGACGUGGCAGUUGAGCCCCACGUCGUUCACNNNNNNNNNNNNNNNNNNNNNNNNNNNNNNNNNNNNNNNNNNNNNNNNNNCUACCGCCCGGACGAUCAACAGUCGUCCCGUGGCACCGUGGGUAACGCCCACGGGUAAGGUAACAACGGUACCGGUUUGGGUGAUGCGCAGCCAAGCUCCUGUCGACGACGGAGAAGGUUCAGAGACUAGACGGGGGUCGGUCUCACUAAACGGGGCUUAAGGUAUAGUCCGCUUACCUACAUCUCGCACUGUGCGACCAUUCGUAAAUGGGAGCCUGCGGCUUAAUUUGACUCAACACGGGGAAACUCACCAGGUCCAGACAUGCUUAGGAUUGACAGAUUGAUAGCUCUUUCUUGAUUGUAUGGGUGGUGGUGCAUGGCCGUUUUUAGUUGGUGGAGUGAUUUGUCUGCUUAAUUGCGUUAACGAACGAGACCUUGACCUGCUAAAUAGUCCCACUCACUUUGGUGGGUGGCCGACUUCUUAGAGGGACUUUUGGCUCAAGCCAAUGGAAGUACGAGGCAAAAACAGGUCUGUGAUGCCCUUAGAUGUUCUGGGCCGCACGCGCGCUACACUGACAGAGCCAGCGAGUACACCACCUUGGCCGAAAGGUCUGGGUAAUCUUGUUAAACUCUGUCGUGCUGGGGAUAGAGCAUUGCAAUUAUUGCUCUUCAACGAGGAAUGCCUAGUAAGCGCAAGUCAUCAGCUUGCGUUGAUUACGUCCCUGCCCUUUGUACACACCGCCCGUCGCUACUACCGAUUGAAUGGCUCAGUGAGGCCUUGGGAUUGGCCAGGGGAGGUGGGCGACCACCACCCCAGGCCGAAAACUUGGUCAAACUUGGUCAUUUAGAGGAAGUAAAAGUCGUAACAAGGUUUUCGCAGACGCCUAGUCUCGAGAUAAGUCCUGAUGCAUCCUUCUGCAGUGAACACUUAUCGGAAGCCUUUAACAGCUGCCGGAAACGGUGAGGCUGCCACGACUGUAAAUAAGGGCAGCCCAAGAGCUAGUGGAACGCCGGUCCCUUGCCGGUCUUUCGCGACACUGUCAAAUUGCGGGAAUCCCCUUAGAGCUUGCUGCUACCAAGCGUCGUCCCGAAACGGGCGACGUGGCCAGGGUAACUCCCUCGGGUACGGUCACAACGCGCAAGAUUGGGUAACCUGCAGCCAAGUCCUACCGGCCUUCCAGGCCCAUGGAUGCUGUUCACAGACUAAAUGGUAGUGGGUGACGCCCCCCUCGGUAGAAGAGGGGUAGGAGUCGCUUAAGAUAUAGUCGGGCCCCCGGGGAGACUCGGGGGAAAAGUUUCACGAAGAAUGGCCGUCGGUCCUUUUCGACGUGCCUAACAAUAACCGUUCCGUAGGUGAACCUGCGGAAGGAUCAUUA
This 2066-nucleotide ribosomal RNA is filed under the name Chaetothyriales sp. MMO5. RNAcentral's name for it is "partial 18S ribosomal RNA". The stretch from base 903 to 1573 matches the Rfam family "Eukaryotic small subunit ribosomal RNA", at positions 1118 to 1823 of the family's 1831-position model. The record is from RNAcentral. Lineage: Eukaryota; Fungi; Ascomycota; Eurotiomycetes; Chaetothyriales.